Nymphaea colorata (pocket water lily) is the source of this 258-nucleotide long non-coding RNA. RefSeq lists it as uncharacterized. The record is from RefSeq and is a predicted model, not a curated record. NCBI's taxonomy places the organism in Eukaryota, Viridiplantae, Streptophyta, Magnoliopsida, Nymphaeales, Nymphaeaceae. The transcript is spliced from 3 exons.
AAAAUACAAAAUAAAAGCUUAAUGGCCCUUGUUAAUGUUAUCAACAGACUUAGUGAUAGUGGUGUUAGGAAAAGAGGACAUAUUCCUUACCGGGAUAGCAAGCUCACCGCAAUUCUUCAGCCUGCUCUUGGUGGCAAUGCAAAGACUUCCAUUAUCUGUACUGUUGCACUUGAAGAGGUUCAUGUUGAUGAAACAAGGGGGACUUUGCAGUCGCUGGUAGAGCUAAGCGCAUCACAAAUUGUGUUCAAGUGAAUGAGG